CCCUGGUUAGCUCAGUUGGUAGAGCGCUCCACCUGUAAUGGAGAGGUCCCGGGUUCGGAUACCCGGACCAGGCG
This is a non-coding RNA of Ixodes scapularis (black-legged tick), 74 nucleotides long. The record is from Rfam. NCBI's taxonomy places the organism in Eukaryota, Metazoa, Arthropoda, Arachnida, Ixodida, Ixodidae.